UACAGAGACUGCAAGCGUUAUUCGGAUUCACUGGGCGUAAAGGGUGCGCAGGCGGCCAAGUGUGUGAGGCGUGAAAGCCCGGGGCUUAACCCCGGAAUUGCACCUCAAACUACAUGGCUAGAGCAUUGGAGAGGGUAGCGGAAUUCACGGUGUAGCAGUGAAAUGCGUAGAUAUCGUGAGGAACACCAGAGGCGAAGGCGGCUACCUGGACAAUUGCUGACGCUCAGGCACGAAAGCGUGGGGAGCAAAAGGG
RNAcentral lists this ribosomal RNA (253 nucleotides) under uncultured bacterium. Its description in RNAcentral is "partial 16S ribosomal RNA". It matches the Rfam family "Bacterial small subunit ribosomal RNA", at positions 524 to 776 of the family's 1533-position model. The record is from RNAcentral. RNAcentral also lists the same sequence under 1 other name.